Molecule: non-coding RNA, 95 nt
Filed under: Dechloromonas denitrificans
Lineage: Bacteria; Pseudomonadati; Pseudomonadota; Betaproteobacteria; Rhodocyclales; Azonexaceae
Description: Glycine sequence
Rfam family: Glycine riboswitch aptamer
About the family: This family represents the bacterial glycine riboswitch.
Source: Rfam by way of RNAcentral
GCCGCUUCUGCGGGAGAGAGAGUUCUGGCUUGCCAGGCUCCGCCGAAGGCGCAAGCUCCCAUAAUCGCUCAGGCAUGAUGAACCGUAGAAAUUGA